AAUUUUUCAUAGCUCUUUUACAAUGUUUUCUAGCAGGAUUUCUGACCUUGGUCGGAAAUCCCAA
Mastomys coucha (southern multimammate mouse) is the source of this 64-nucleotide small nuclear RNA. RefSeq annotates it as U7 small nuclear RNA. The transcript has a single exon. Lineage: Eukaryota; Metazoa; Chordata; Mammalia; Rodentia; Muridae. The record is from RefSeq and is a predicted model, not a curated record.